UACGUAGGGGCCUAGCGUUGUCCGGAUUUAUUGGGCGUAAAGAGCUCGUAGGCGGUUUGGUGAGUCGGGUGUGAAAUCUCCACGCUCAACGUGGAGGAGCCACCCGAUACUGCCAUGACUAGAGUCCGGUAGGGGAGUGUGGAAUUCCCGGUGUAGCAGUGAAAUGCGUAGAGAUCGGGAGGAACACCAGUGGCGAAGGCGGCUACCUGGACCAGCACUGACACUGAAGCACGAAAGCGUGGGGAGCAAACAGG
Molecule: ribosomal RNA, 254 nt
Filed under: uncultured bacterium
Lineage: Bacteria
Description: partial 16S ribosomal RNA
Rfam family: Bacterial small subunit ribosomal RNA
Source: RNAcentral